This 463-nucleotide ribosomal RNA is filed under the name uncultured bacterium. RNAcentral describes it as "partial 16S ribosomal RNA". It matches the Rfam family "Bacterial small subunit ribosomal RNA", at positions 28 to 507 of the family's 1533-position model. The record is from RNAcentral.
GAUGAACGCUGACAGAAUGCUUAACACAUGCAAGUCUUUGGCGAAUCUGUGCUUGCACAGGCUAGCCAAGGCGGACGGGUGAGUAACGCGUAAAGAACUUGCCCUGCAGACAGGGAUAACAGACGGAAACGACUGAUAACACCUGGUACAGUUGCCGGCACGCAUGUGCCUGGCAAUGAAAAGAGAUGCUGCAGGAGAGCUUUGCGUCCUAUUAGCUUGUUGGUGAGGUGACGGCUCACCAAGGCGAUGAUAGGUAGCCGGCCUGAGAGGGUGAACGGCCACAAGGGGACUGAGAUACGGCCCUUACUCCUACUGGAGGCAGCAGUGGGGAAUAUUGGACAAUGGGGGCAACCCUGAUCCAGCAAUUCUGUGUGCACGAAGAAGGUUUUCGGAUUGUAAAGUGCUUUCAGCAGGGAAGAAGAAAGUGACGGUACCUGCAGAAGAAGCGACGGCUAAAUACGUG